AUGGAUGCACGGAUGCGGCUGGUACUUCAGGAAGGAGCAAUGAUAGCUGUGAUUCAGGCAUGGGUCAUGUUCAUGCACAAGCGAGUUGUUCGUCGUGCUGAGAGGCCUCUCAUCAGAUAUGCUCGACUGCUUAUGCGGGAGCAGGAGAUGAUCGCUAAUCUGAACUACAUAUCCAACUGCAACGACACACAUGAUCUGUGGAUGCUUAGAAUGAAAGCACCAUUUGCCAGACUUGUUCAGACCUUUAGGACCAGGGGGCUGCUAGAAGAUAGCAUCGCCAGUGUGAAAGAGCAAGUCGUCAUGUUCCUUCAUAUUGUUGGCCUUAACCAUAGGUUUAGGGUUAUCCACAACACGUUCAGGAGGUCAAUGGAGACCAUCUCAAGGUACUUUAAGCAAGUGUCGUACGCUGUUGGGGAGCUCAGAGGAGAGAUGAUCAAGUCACCAACUGGUCAGACUCCUACCAAGAUUCGCACAAGCUCAAGAUGGUAUCCAUACUUCAAGGUGAGCACUGCGUAUGUAGUUCAUUGCUUGAUAUGCUUGGAUAGUUCAAGGUGA
RNAcentral lists this ribosomal RNA (555 nucleotides) under Triticum aestivum (bread wheat). RNAcentral describes it as "partial small subunit ribosomal RNA". The record is from RNAcentral. Lineage: Eukaryota; Viridiplantae; Streptophyta; Magnoliopsida; Poales; Poaceae.